This is a long non-coding RNA of Perca fluviatilis (European perch), 999 nucleotides long. RefSeq lists it as uncharacterized. NCBI's taxonomy places the organism in Eukaryota, Metazoa, Chordata, Actinopteri, Perciformes, Percidae. The record is from RefSeq and is a predicted model, not a curated record. The transcript has 6 exons.
UUUCAGCGUAUAAACUACAAAAACAUUCGUUGCAUUAUACGUUCGCCAUUUUACGCAGCGACUGAUCGUUGUGUGUGUUAUCUCUCCGAAAAAAAACCCCGUUUUUACGGUUCUAUUUUUUGUGAGCUUUCUGUUCAUUUCCUAUCAACAACAUGGGCAAAUCGAAGAACACUGCAUCCGCGGGAACAAGAAGUUCCGAGCGUCUGGCUGGGAGACAUAAACCUGCAGCCGAGCCAAUAAAGAAAAAACCUGCUCCAAAAAAGGCACCCAAAGCGAAGAAGGCCAAAGCAGCUGAAAAUGGGAACAACAAGGCUGAGGAGCCAAAGGCCGAAGCCACUGAAGCCAAAUGAAUAACGGUUGAUGUGCUCACUCUGUGUACUUGGUGAUUGUACAGUUUUAAAUAAGUAUUUUUUACCAAGUUUUAUAUUACAAAUGUCAUUUAUAGGUUUGGUUUGGGCUUGCACUUGAUGUAACAACAGUUUGUUGUGUCAUUCAUAUUCAUUUUAUAUCCAUUUAAAAAAAAAAAAAAACGAUUACCGUCCAUAUCUUGUAGACGAGGCAUUUUCGGUUUGUCUAAUCUAAUUUCUUUUUUCUUUUCUUUUCUUUUUUUAUUUAAAGUGCAGAAUAAUAGAUGUGUUCCAACAAGUUGGAAUAUAAAUCUAAUUUUAAACAUUAUGAGGCAGCUAAAGCAUAGCGUUAAAAUUUGACGGAGAAUAGGAAUUGUGCCUUUUAUCUCCUUGUAUUUUAAUGUUAAACUAAUAAGAAAAUGCUUACCAAAUGUUUUGAAACACUGUAUGUUGACAUGAAUUCCAGUCAUGAAAAUACCACAGAAAAAUACUGUUAUUAGGUCAAAAGAUUAAUGCAUCCCAAAAAACAUGUUUGUGAACCUGGUCAUCUGAUGAAAAGUCCUGUUAAGUUAUGUUUGUGUUCUGACUGAAGCUUUUCUGACUUAAAUGGUUGAUCUAAAUGUUCUUGAAUAAAAAUGUCUUCUUGACGUUA